GGUGAGCACAAUGGCGUAUGCCUGUAAUCCCAGCAGCUGGGAGGCUGAGGCAGGAGGAUCACGAGUUCAAAGCCAGCCUCAGCAAUUUAGCAAGGCCCUAAGCAACUAAGUGAGACCCUGUCUCUA
RNAcentral lists this small RNA (126 nucleotides) under Marmota monax (woodchuck). Lineage: Eukaryota; Metazoa; Chordata; Mammalia; Rodentia; Sciuridae. The record is from RNAcentral.